GCGACAUCAGGUCAGGCGGGGA
Molecule: ribosomal RNA, 22 nt
Filed under: Apostasia papuana
Lineage: Eukaryota; Viridiplantae; Streptophyta; Magnoliopsida; Asparagales; Orchidaceae
Description: partial 26S ribosomal RNA
Source: RNAcentral